Molecule: ribosomal RNA, 447 nt
Filed under: uncultured bacterium
Lineage: Bacteria
Description: bacterial SSU rRNA
Rfam family: Bacterial small subunit ribosomal RNA
Source: RNAcentral
UGGGGAAUUUUGGACAAUGGGCGCAAGCCUGAUCCAGCCAUGCCGCGUGAGUGACGAAGGUCUUCGGAUUGUAAAACUCUUUUGGCGGGGACGAUAAUGACGGUACCCGCAGAAUAAGCCCCGGCUAACUUCGUGCCAGCAGCCGCGGUAAUACGAAGGGGGCUAGCGUUGUUCGGAAUCACUGGGCGUAAAGCGCACGUAGGCGGAUGUGCCAGUCAGGGGUGAAAUCCCGGAGCUCAACUCCGGAACUGCCUCUGAUACUGCACGUCUUGAGUUCGAGAGAGGUGGGUGGAAUUCCUAGUGUAGAGGUGAAAUUCGUAGAUAUUAGGAAGAACACCGGUGGCGAAGGCGGCCCACUGGCUCGAUACUGACGCUGAGGUGCGAAAGCGUGGGGAGCAAACAGGAUUAGAUACCCUUGUAGUCCCUGAGCGGGCUGGCAAGGCGCAU